AUUAGAUACCCUGGGUAGUCCACGCCGUAAACGAUGAUUACUAGGUGUCGGUGGGUAUGGACCCACCGGUGCCGCAGCAAACGCAGUAAGUAAUCCACCUGGGGAGUACGUUCGCAAGAAUGAAACUCAAAGGAAUUGACGGGGACCCGCACAAGCGGUGGAGCAUGUGGUUUAAUCCGAAGCAACGCGAAGAACCUUACCAAGUCUUGACAUCCCAUCGAAUAAAGGGUAGUGCCUUUAGUCCUUCGGGACGAUGGAGACAGGUGGUGCAUGGUUGUCGUCAGCUCGUGUCGUGAGAUGUUGGGUUAAGUCCCGCAACGAGCGCAACCCUUAUCCUCAGUAGCCAGCAGGUAAAGCCGGGCACUCUGGGGAGACUGCCGGGGAUAACCCGGAGGAAGGUGGGGAUGACGUCAAAUCAUCAUGCCCCUUAUGAUUUGGGCUACACACGUGCUACAAUGGCGUAAACAGAGGGAAGCGAACCCGCGAGGGGGAGCAAAUCCAGAAAUAACGUCCCAGUUCGGAUUGUAGUCUGCAACCCGGCUACAUGAAGCUGGAAUCGCUAGUAAUCGCGGAUCAGAAUGCCGCGGUGAAUACGUUCCCGGGUCUUGUACACACCGCCCGUCACACCAUGGGAGUCGGAAAUGCCCGAAGUCUGUGACCCAACCUCAGGGAGGGAGCAGCCGAAGGCAGGUCGGAUGACUGGGGUGAAGUCGUAACAAGGUACC
This 725-nucleotide ribosomal RNA is filed under the name uncultured bacterium. RNAcentral describes it as "bacterial SSU rRNA". It matches the Rfam family "Bacterial small subunit ribosomal RNA", at positions 777 to 1500 of the family's 1533-position model. The record is from RNAcentral.